Balaenoptera musculus (blue whale) is the source of this 4988-nucleotide RNA transcript. It is a transcript of the gene named zinc finger protein 705A-like, with no coding region annotated. NCBI's taxonomy places the organism in Eukaryota, Metazoa, Chordata, Mammalia, Artiodactyla, Balaenopteridae. The record is from RefSeq and is a predicted model, not a curated record. The transcript is spliced from 5 exons.
UUUCCGGCCGACCCGGAAGCAGCUCUUCUGGCUCGAAGGCCCGUUACCUGGCUUGAGUUUCAGUGUUUCUCGUUCAAACUCGCUCUUGGAUGCCCUGAGCGCCGCGUCCUCCACACCCGGAGUCCGGGGCCCCUCGACCGCUACCGUCGCCGCCCGCGGGGAGCCCCGCCUAGUCGGGGGGAGCUCUGCUGCCGGGGCCGGACCUGAAUCUGUUCCGGGACUCUGACCUCCUGGGAAGAAGGCCAGACUCAGGGACCAUGCCCUGCCCACCAGCCCUCCAAAGCUCCACCUACUCUGAACAAGGAGACUAGAGCACUUUCUCAGCCCCGUCUUGCUGCACUUUCUGCCAUGCUCCCCCCUACAGCCUAGAGAUCUGAUUGAAAGUACUCUCCUCCCUGCUGGGUGACUCACAGAGGAAAAUAAGAGGAAACAGUGCCCAGAAUCCAGCUAUCACGCCACCCACCCACCCACAGACAUUUAAAUAACCCUCCAGAUCCUCAGUCCCCUCAGCUCACCCUAGAAGAUUCCAGUUCCUCAUCAGAGUGCGUGCAUACAGCGGGCAGAGAGCAAAACUCGAGAACCACCCUGGCACUACUUGUCUCUGUGAUGCCGAAGACAUUCUCCUUCCUGUGUGUUACAGAGAAGAUUCAAAUUUCCAGAGUUUGUAAGCUUUGGAAGAUGCUAGCUGAACAUUCUGCACUAUGGAGAUGUGUACCUGACACCUUACAGGGUUGAAGGCAGUUGAUUUUUGUCGUUUGAUCAUCGGAAUGCUUGGGUGUUGCAGGGAGAGGCCCCGGUUGUCAGGCAUCUCUUCCAGAGACACGUGAGAACAGGGUUACAGUCACUGAGUGCGGGGCUCUACGUGAUCUGAAGCAUAAAGCCUUCUGAAAUCAUUCCAGCUUUAAUUAAGGAAGCUGGGAAGAGGUGCCCUCACCAAACUGAACUCUAGUUGCAUGUUCUAUACUUGAGGAAAUUCCCAAUCCCCAAACUUCCCCAAUCCUCACAAGUGUAGAACUAUACAACUGUGAAAUUUCAGAGUCACGGAUCUUCAAGGGAAGUGACUUCUCUCCACUGCUUUUCUAACACAGCCUUGUCCUGGACCCUCUCCUUUCCUUCCAAGGCAGGCAGAUGAUGAACCUGCCCAGGCUGCAGGCUCUGUGUUUCCUGGAGUUGGUGGACAUUCCGCUAGUGCCUGACUAGGGGCUCAUGAUGGCUCUCUCUGAAGUUGAUUGACUCCACAGCCUAAAACUGGUGAACUCCUUCUCAUCAGGUGGAUUCCUGCAGGCAGUAGUAGCCCAGCAUCUUCAGAAGCUCAGUAUGAGAGUGGGCUCCACAACCAAAGUAUUGUCUCAACUAGAAAGGAUGGAUUCCCUGCUAUAACUGGAACUAAAAUAUUCCUCCCACCACUGAAGACUUCGUCUCUGCCUCUAACAUUCUCUCUGUUUGCCUCAGAAUGCCAGGUUCCAAGUCCUCCGGCUCCCGGAAGUCCACACCUCAGACCAGGGGAGGGAGGAGGCCAGGGCUCCUCUGCAGGAGGUGCUGCUCCUCUGUGUGGUCACCUCCAAUUCCAGGCAACACUCAUCCACCAAGUGGUGGAAGCGAUAGCCCAGUGUGACUCAGGCCUCCUCCUCACCGUCCUCACCUACACACCCUGCGUCAUUUCUGUCCGUCCCCUCACUGCUGAAUGGUUAUCCCUCUGGGGUUCCAAUUUUUCAGAGGCAUUUUAAACCAUGAGAGGACAUAACUCACAUUAAACUGUGGUCAGGGAACAGACUUUUGAGCCAGAUACACGUGAGCGUGAAACAUAGUUCAACCAAUUAUAUGCUGUGUAGUUUUUGUUAAGUCACAUGCAUCCUAUCCAGGUUGGUUUCAUGAAAGGAAAAGUGACAAUAAUAAUGGCAAACGAGGGAAUUCCCUGGCGGUCCAGUGGUUAGGACUCUGCACUCUCACUGCCGAGGGCCCAAGUUCGGUCCCUGGUCGGGGAACUGAGAUCCCACAAGCCGCACGUGCUGCGGCCAGAAAAAAAGAAAAAAUAAUAAUAAGGCAAAUGAAUAAAUGGCAAGAUUAUAAGAAUACUCCUGUUACCUAAUAUGUGAUCAAUAUUGAUGACAUGUUUGGGUAGAGGGCUUUAGAUCUUCCAUAAGAGUUAUCCAUAGACUUUGUUGUCUGUACUUUCUGCUCAGUUUGCUUUGAACCUGAAACAACUCUAAAAAAAUAAAGCAUUUUUAGAAAAAGAAUGAAAGGAUAUCAUCUGUUUUCCUUAAUUCCAUAUAUGUGAUUUACCUAAUCAGUGAGAAAAUAUUUGAUUAAAAAGGCAUGCCUUGAUUAGAUCUACAUUGACUUGGCAUCCAAAUUAAUCAGGGUGUGUCUUUUGAUUUACAUGAUUGAUGAGAGUAUCAGCUGCUUAUAAAGAGGGAUUGCCAUCAAAAGCUGAUUUAUCUAGAGAGAGAAACUCUUGAGUUCCCUUGGGUGGUGACUGCAUCCUCAAUAAAGAGUUGGCUUCUUUGGCUUUUCCAUGGGUUUGGGUAAGUAGUAGAGAGAAUUUUUAUCAGGAAAGACAGACUCCGUUAUUUCAGAAGAGUUUAUAAUCAGGAAAUGAUGGUUUACAUGAGUGCAGCCACUUGGGGGCAAGUUUCCUUACUGUGGACAUAGAGUUUCUCUGUAUUUAUAAUUCAUAUGUAAUGGUCAGAGGUGAACUUGCCUAAUCUUACCAUGCAUAGGUAGAUUUAGACCACUGGGAGGGCAGAGUAUAAAUAAAUAUCUAAUGACUAAUUAGGUGAAUGGCCUCAAGGAGUGGUAGAGUUCUGUGUAAAUUGGGGCAGAGGGGAAGGGAAAGGUUUAAGUUGGUUGGAGUUUAGUGAAAGUCUCCUGCUAGUUGAGAUUUAAACUGAUGCUGACAUAAAAUGUGUAUGGGUGGAAAUGAAGGUUGAUGCCACUCCCCAGUGUAGAGAUAGCAGCAUGUGUGUGGGCUCAGCCGGGUUAUGCACACAUCAAUGCCAGGAUGUCUGGUGGAGCCGUUAACUAAGAUUGAAGACUAGAGGAGGAGUGAUUUUUGUAUUUGGAGGGGCAGAAGUAUUGUCCUGAGAAAUAUUUCGUUUCAGGUGUAUGUAAGUUUGCAAGGAGAGAUGAUAGCGCAGAAAUGGAAUCCAGACAAGAAGUUGGUCAUUUUCAACAGAGAUAGCAGUAGAAGAAAUUAGAGCAAUUGAAUAAAUGGGUGAGAGGAGAACAGGAGCUCCCAUUAGGUCUUGAGACGCUCCAAUAGGACCGAGGAAUUCUUUGUAGAGGACUGGGAGAAGGACUGAUAACAGAGUAGAUUGAAAACAGGAGAAUGAGGUGUCAGUUUAGGCUAGGAAGAAGUUCCAAAAAGGAGGUCAAGUUUCAACUUUUGUUUUCAGGGAAGAAUCUAUCUGCAGGGAGAUACUUGGUGAUAUUAACAAUAUGUAUGCAUAAGAUAAUCAUUGAGGGUCUUUGCAGGUCAAGGGAGAGGAGGACAUGAGGGCUGAUGGCUGUACUUCCAGCUUGAUGGUGAAGGGAGGAUAGAUGGGCAGGGACCUGAGAAAAAAUAGGUUCAGAGGAGAUUUUUGCUUCAAGUUAAAAGAGACAUAAUGAGCUUAACUGGUGAGGGGACUGAUGGACAGGUUUCUGGUAAAGGAGAACAAGAAAACAGGAGAGAAAGGAGUUCAGCUGGAGACGCUAGACUUAGCUAGUGGCAGCAUGACCCGUCAAUUUGAAGGGAGAAAAGGAGUAACCCAGGGGUAGGAAUGUAGGAGUAUCUGUAGCUGUCGUGAUGGGGAACCGAGUUACUUUGUCACAUCAUGUAAUCCGUCUGUGUUAUGACCUGAAUUGUGUGCCCCCAAAAGUCAAAUAUUGAAGCCGUCCUCAGACCUCAGAGUGUGAUGGUAUUUGGAGAUGAGGCCUUAAAAGCGGUGAUUAAGUUAAAAUGAGGUUCUUAGGGUGGGCCCUAAUCCAAUUUGGCUGGUGUCUUUGCAAGAAGAGGAGAUUAUGGCACAGACAUGUCCAGUGGGAAGACCAUGUGAAGACACAGGGAGAAGACAGCCAUCCAGAAGCUAAGAAGGGCGGCCUCGGAAGAGACCAACCCUGGCUUCACUUUGAUUUCGGACUUAGAGCCUCCAGAACUGUGAGAAAAUAAAUUUGUUUAAGCCACCCAGUCUGUGAUACUUUGUUACAACAGCCUUAGCAAACUAAUACAAUAUGUGUAGUAGGAAAUAACCUCAUCUUUUGAAAUGUGAAGAUUGUGUAGAUUCAAAAGUCAUGGUGACAAUUUGAAAUAUUUAUGGAGCAAAUAUUUGAAAUAUUUAUGUUUUUGCAAAACACAGUAGAGUUGCCAGAUAUAUUUGAAAACAACUAGGAGUAGUGAUUCUGUGUUUAGACAGGGGUCGACUUAGUAGUAGUGUGUGUCGGAUGCAGUCAUGGAAAAGGCAGGUACGAGGAGUCACCUGCUAUUGGGAUUUUGAUGGGGAAAUCCGGUUAAUAGUCCAAGGGACAUAGAAAAUGUUCUGGUCUUGGUAAGUGCCUGUUGAGUAAGUGUGGAUUAAACUGAGCAGAAAAAAUGUAGAGAGAUGUAGCUUGAUGUUUGAGAAGUGAAAUAAGUACAUUGGGGGUCCCCAUGUGGCAGAGGACCUGAGUUUGGGGUAUCAGAAGGCAGAGGGGUUGUAGUUACAGGUUGGGGCUCCUGAUUAAUGUCAGACGUGAUAUUCCAGGUAAAACCUGGAUGUGGUGUGUAUUGCGUAAGGAAUAUGAGCAUAGGAGAUAGGCAGAACAAAAUUAAAAUGAUAGACGUGUUACUUCUAGCUGUGACUUUGUUAUAUGAUUAAAUUUUUGGACCUCUUCUGUGUAUGUCAUUUGUUAUAUUGGUAAACUAAAAUCGCCAGGUUUAUUUUAAGGCCUAAAUGAGUGAAUAUACGUAAAUAUCCAAGCACUAAGUCAUGUUUGAUACAAACUUUUUUUUUUUUUUUUCUUUUUCUGGA